This 2032-nucleotide unclassified non-coding RNA is filed under the name Polistes fuscatus (common paper wasp). Its description in RNAcentral is "rNA-binding protein 45, transcript variant X3". The record is from RNAcentral. Lineage: Eukaryota; Metazoa; Arthropoda; Insecta; Hymenoptera; Vespidae.
AUCGCUGUAAAGUACAGUAGUCAUACAUAGGCGUACACCAGUAUACUGGCGUCCAUUUCGUUUGUAUCAUGGUAGAUCAUAAAGAACGAGAUUUUUAUUCACAAAUGGAUUUGCGAACAAAGAACGACGACCCGCCCAAUUCGCGUUUAUUUGUUAUUUGCCAUAAAUCUCUGGAAGAAGAUGACAUACGGAAAGCUUUCGAAAAGUUUGGCAAAAUCGAGGAUAUUUGGGUCGUUAAGGAUCGAAAUACUGGCGAGAAUAAAGGAGUUACGUAUAUUAAAUUUUCUAAGACGUCAGAAGCUGCAUUUGCGUUGGAGGAAAUGAAUGGGAAAAUGCUAGGCAUGGUUGGAAGACCUAUCAAAGUGAUGAUCGCUUCAAAUCGUGAUCAAGGAUCUGUGAGAGAAACAAAUGAAGAGGAAAGAUGGGUCAGAUUGUUUUGUGUGUUACCAAAGUCUAUGACUGAUAGUGAAUUACAACAAGAAUUCUCUAAGUUUGGCCAAAUAGAGUAUGCAACUGUAGUCAAGGAUCGUAAUACGAAUGAAUCUAAAGGUUUUGGUUAUGUUAAAUUUAAAAAAGUAUCCAGUGCAGCUAAAGCAUUUGAAGAAUGCGAUAGGAAAUACAAAGCAGUGUUCGCAGAACCAAAGAAACCAAAACCUGAUAAUAUAGAUUCUAAAUACAAUAAUGGCUCUUCUAUGUCCUACGACAGUCUUGGUCAUGCUUCUGCAAAUUUUGGGAAAAGCAGCAUCAGUCUAGAUAUAGCUACAAAUUAUCCAAAUCCGGAAGGAUAUACUCAAUUACAAGUUAUUGCACAUCCAGCUUUAAAUCAAGAUCAGUUGUGGAAACUAUUUGAUAUAGUUCCCGGUAUGGAUUAUUGUCAUUUAAAAACAGAUGCGAGAUACAGAAUGCCAAGAGGGCAAGCCAUUGUGGUGUAUUCCAAUCCAAAUGCAGCAGCAUAUGCUAGGGAAAAAUUCCAUGGUUUCGAAUAUCCUCCAGGUCAUAGGAUGAUAGUUAAACCGGAUACUAGUAAUAUGUCAUCUAAAGGUUCAACAAAAAGUAACUCUAAUGCAGCUGUACCAGCAAGAACAGAUUUAGCACAUUUGGCUGAAACUAUUGCUCAAGCUACAUCGUUGAUUCAAGCAGCAGGACUAACAGCACCAAGCUUAGAACAGACAAUGUGCAUUAAGUUACCUCCUCUGCAACCAAUGGCAAAUGUAGAUGCAGAGGUAGCUAAAAGGUGUUUCAUCGUAUGUGGCCCACCCGUACCACCUAUAUAUGCUAUGAAAGAUGCAUUCUGUAGGUUUGGUAAUUUGAUAGAUGUAUAUAUGCUUCCGGGAAAAAAUUGUGGUUAUGCCAAAUAUGCUACUGUUGCAAGUGCAGACGAAGCGAUUGAGGUUCUACAUGGGCAAGAAAUUUGUGGUUCACGUCUUAAAGUAUUGGAGGCAGAGGAACGAAGCGUUGGGGAAGAUCGUAGAAAACGAUUAAGAGUUGACGAAGACGAACGUUAAGUUUAUUGUGUACUGCGACACUAUUUUAAGCUGGGUUCGACGUAUUGUACCUGAAAACUGUGAUAUAUCUAUAGUUGUAAAAGAUGUCGCUACCACAUCGAAUGAAGUUCCCGCGAUACACAGAAUAGUGGGAGCAUGACUCGUAAAGAGAUGACAAGAGAGGGGGAAAAGCGUUUAUAUUUUAACCAUAUAUAUGCAUGAUGAUAUUACGUGACAGUGAAGUAGCCGCUUGGAGGGGAUGAUGGGAAUGUUAUCCAGAACGAUAUAGGUGACUUUUCAAAGAGUGGGGGUUGUAGGCUCACGUGUUUUCAAACGUGCUGCAAAAUGAGCACCAGUUCGAAUUUGCGAAGAUUGCAAGCGACAUGAUUUUGGUCUUUACUAGCGUAACCAUCGCGAAGUCUUGUCUCUCGAGUGUUUUAUAUCAAAUUCGUAUUAUUAAUCGAUUAAUCUACAUGGAAAGUUGUUCAGUUGAUCGAAUAAUCAUUUCUCGAUUCUUUAUUUGUUUAAUAAAAAUAUUACAAAGUGUA